GAUGAACGCUGGCGGCGUGCCUAAUACAUGCAAGUCGAGCGAACAGACGAGGAGCUUGCUCCUCUGACGUUAGCGGCGGACGGGUGAGUAACACGUGGAUAACCUACCUAUAAGACUGGGAUAACUUCGGGAAACCGGAGCUAAUACCGGAUAAUAUAUUGAACCGCAUGGUUCAAUAGUGAAAGACGGUUUUGCUGUCACUUAUAGAUGGAUCCGCGCCGCAUUAGCUAGUUGGUAAGGUAACGGCUUACCAAGGCGACGAUGCGUAGCCGACCUGAUAGGGUGAUCGGCCACACUGGAACUGAGACACGGUCCAGACUCCUACGGGAGGCAGCAGUAGGGAAUCUUCCGCGAUGGGCGAAAGCCUGACGGAGCAACGCCGCGUGAGUGAUGAAGGUCUUCGGAUCGUAAAACUCUGUUAUUAGGGAAGAACAAAUGUGUAAGUGACUAUGCACGUCUUGACGGUACCUAAUCAGAAAGCCACGGCUAACUACGUG
Molecule: ribosomal RNA, 497 nt
Filed under: uncultured bacterium
Lineage: Bacteria
Description: partial 16S ribosomal RNA
Rfam family: Bacterial small subunit ribosomal RNA
Source: RNAcentral